RNAcentral lists this signal recognition particle RNA (265 nucleotides) under Candidatus Pacearchaeota archaeon CG09_land_8_20_14_0_10_30_9. RNAcentral's name for it is "signal recognition particle sRNA". It matches the Rfam family "Archaeal signal recognition particle RNA". Lineage: Archaea; Nanobdellati. The record is from RNAcentral.
GUGUAGGCUUGGUCAGGGAGUUAGCCCCUUCCUUUUAUGCAAACGGGCUUUAUGGCAGACGACGGGCAAUGAGUGCGAAGCAAAUAAAAAAAGUCUUUAUGCUUUUGUUGACACUUUGUCCGCUUUGAUCCUACAAUUGUGAACCGGGUCAGGCCUUGAUCGGAGCAGCCCUAAUCAUUUGUUUGGGUGCUUAGCGGGUUACAAAGCCGAGAAAGUUUAGAGGUAGCUUUUCUUAGGCGAUUCAAGCAAUUUGCCUGGCCUACAU